RNAcentral lists this transfer RNA (74 nucleotides) under Pseudoalteromonas piratica. RNAcentral's name for it is "Pseudoalteromonas sp. OCN003 tRNA". It matches the Rfam family "tRNA". Rfam says of the family: Transfer RNA (tRNA) molecules are approximately 80 nucleotides in length. Their secondary structure includes four short double-helical elements and three loops (D, anti-codon, and T loops). Lineage: Bacteria; Pseudomonadati; Pseudomonadota; Gammaproteobacteria; Alteromonadales; Pseudoalteromonadaceae. The record is from Rfam by way of RNAcentral.
GUUCCCGUAGCUCAGUUGGAUAGAGCAUUCGCCUCCUAAGCGAAGGGUCGCAGGUUCAACUCCUGCCGGGAACG